GGGGAUUUAGCUCAGUGGUAGAGCGCUCGCCUAGCAAGCGCGAGGCCCUGGGUUCAGUCCCCAGCUCCG
This 69-nucleotide transfer RNA is filed under the name Rattus norvegicus (Norway rat). It matches the Rfam family "tRNA". From Rfam's summary of the family: Transfer RNA (tRNA) molecules are approximately 80 nucleotides in length. Their secondary structure includes four short double-helical elements and three loops (D, anti-codon, and T loops). Further hydrogen bonds mediate the characteristic L-shaped molecular structure. tRNAs have two regions of fundamental functional importance: the anti-codon, which is responsible for specific mRNA codon recognition, and the 3' end, to which the tRNAs corresponding amino acid is attached (by aminoacyl-tRNA synthetases). tRNAs cope with the degeneracy of the genetic code in two manners: having more than one tRNA (with a specific anti-codon) for a particular amino acid; and 'wobble' base-pairing, i.e. permitting non-standard base-pairing at the 3rd anti-codon position. Lineage: Eukaryota; Metazoa; Chordata; Mammalia; Rodentia; Muridae. The record is from Rfam by way of RNAcentral.